UAGAGUUUGAUCAUGGCUCAGGAUGAACGCUAGCGACAGGCUUAACACAUGCAAGUCGAGGGGCAGCGGGGAGGUAGCAAUACUUCCGCCGGCGACCGGCGCACGGGUGAGUAACACGUAUGGAACCUGCCCGUAGCAGGGGGAUAAACGGAAGAAAUUCCGUCUAAUACCGCGUAAUAACUCCGAGAGGCAUCUCAUGGAGUUUAAAGGGUAACACCGGCUACGGAUGGCCAUGCGGCGCAUUAGCUAGUUGGCGGGGUAACGGCCCACCAAGGCGACGAUGCGUAGGGGUUCUGAGAGGAAGGUCCCCCACACUGGUACUGAGACACGGACCAGACUCCUACGGGAGGCAGCAGUGAGGAAUAUUGGUCAAUGGGCGCGAGCCUGAACCAGCCAAGUCGCGUGAGGGAAGACGGUCCUAUGGAUUGUAAACCUCUUUUGUCGGGGAGCAAAAGACGCCACGUGUGGCGUUCCGAGAGUACCCGAAGAAAAAGCAUCGGCUAACUCCGUGCCAGCAGCCGCGGUAAUACGGAGGAUGCGAGCGUUAUCCGGAUUUAUUGGGUUUAAAGGGUGCGCAGGCGGAAGAUCAAGUCAGCGGUAAAAUUGAGAGGCUCAACCUCUUCGAGCCGUUGAAACUGGUUUUCUUGAGUGAGCGAGAAGUAUGCGGAAUGCGUGGUGUAGCGGUGAAAUGCAUAGAUAUCACGCAGAACUCCGAUUGCGAAGGCAGCAUACCGGCGCUCAACUGACGCUCAUGCACGAAAGUGUGGGUAUCGAACAGGAUUAGAUACCCUGGUAGUCCACACAGUAAACGAUGAAUACUAAUUGUUCGGGGAGAAUGAUCCCUGAGUGAUACAGCGAAAGCGUUAAGUAUUCCACCUGGGGAGUACGCCGGCAACGGUGAAACUCAAAGGAAUUGACGGGGGCCCGCACAAGCGGAGGAACAUGUGGUUUAAUUCGAUGAUACGCGAGGAACCUUACCCGGGCUCAAACGACACAGGAAUACUUUUGAAAGGAGGUAGCUCUACGGAGUCUGUGUCGAGGUGCUGCAUGGUUGUCGUCAGCUCGUGCCGUGAGGUGUCGGCUUAAGUGCCAUAACGAGCGCAACCCCCAUCGCCAGUUACCAGCAAGUCAAGUUGGGGACUCUGGCGAGACUGCCGGCGCAAGCUGUGAGGAAGGCGGGGAUGACGUCAAAUCAGCACGGCCCUUACGUCCGGGGCGACACACGUGUUACAAUGGCAGGUACAGAGAGAAGCAAUGCGGCGACGCAAAGCGGAACUUGAAAGCCUGUCUCAGUUCGGAUUGGAGUCUGCAACUCGACUCCAUGAAGCUGGAUUCGCUAGUAAUCGCGCAUCAGCCAUGGCGCGGUGAAUACGUUCCCGGGCCUUGUACACACCGCCCGUCAAGCCAUGGAAGCCGGGAGUGCCUGAAGUGAGCAACCGCAAGGAGCGCCCUAAGGUAAAACUGGUGACUGGGGCUAAGUCGUAACAAGGUAACCGUAA
This 1499-nucleotide ribosomal RNA is filed under the name uncultured bacterium. RNAcentral describes it as "bacterial SSU rRNA". It matches the Rfam family "Bacterial small subunit ribosomal RNA". The record is from RNAcentral.